RNAcentral lists this unclassified non-coding RNA (223 nucleotides) under uncultured Actinomycetes bacterium. RNAcentral describes it as "uncultured actinobacterium contains 16S-23S intergenic spacer region". Lineage: Bacteria; Bacillati; Actinomycetota; Actinomycetes. The record is from RNAcentral.
UCCGGUUUGGCACCGGCAGUCUCCGAUGAGUCCCCGGCUUUACCCGCUGGCAACAUCGGAUAGGGGUUGCGCUCGUUGCGCCACUUAAGGCAACACCUCACGGCACGAGCUGACGACAGCCAUGCAGCACCUGUACGGGCUCCCGAAGGAGGACCGGCUUUCACCGGCUUCACCCCGCAUGUCAAGCCCUGGUAAGGUGGGGAUGACGUGGCUGUACCAUAGA